RNAcentral lists this transfer RNA (99 nucleotides) under compost metagenome. RNAcentral describes it as "tRNA-Cys". The record is from RNAcentral.
UGGUCUCGACGCGCUCUCGGAAGAAGAUCGUGCCGCUUACAACGCGGCACGGAGCGCUGGAGGCUACAGCUUCGAUCAGUUCAAGACCGAUGUGACGAC